CGGAGGUGCAAGCGUUAUCCGGAAUCAUUGGUUAAGGUCCGCAGGCGGAUUGUAAGUCAGUGGUGAAUCCGGCAGCUUAACUGUCGCACUGCCAUUGAUACUGCAGUCCUUGAAUUUGAUGGGAGUGGCGGAAUAUGUCAUGUAGCGGUGAAAUGCUUAGAUAUGACAUAGAACACCGAUAGCGAAGGCAGCUCACUAUAUCUGAAUUGACGCUCAUGGACGAAAGCGCGGGUAGCAAACAGGAUU
RNAcentral lists this ribosomal RNA (246 nucleotides) under uncultured bacterium. RNAcentral's name for it is "partial 16S ribosomal RNA". It matches the Rfam family "Bacterial small subunit ribosomal RNA", at positions 527 to 779 of the family's 1533-position model. The record is from RNAcentral.